UUACAGCCUACUGCAGAAUGUUUAAAUAGGAAAAGUUUGGAUGGAAACACAAUUGCUGAGAAAUUAGAUAGCUUGAUUGAGCUGACUUUUUUGCAUCUUGAGUCCUGUUGUCUGAGGUUGUCUGAGGUAUUUGAUGUUCUAGUGAGAUCAUUUCAAAGGACUAUUUUGAAUACCUACAAGUCAAAAUUCACCUAGUUUGUGGUGUUCUAUGCAUGUGCACUUGAUCAAUUGAUGAACUUGAAAAUUAAAAGUU
Non-coding RNA from Arachis ipaensis, 253 nucleotides. Lineage: Eukaryota; Viridiplantae; Streptophyta; Magnoliopsida; Fabales; Fabaceae. The record is from RefSeq and is a predicted model, not a curated record.